UACGUAGGGGGCGAACGUUGUCCGGAAUCAUUGGGCGUAAAGCGCGUGUAGGCGGCCCGGUAAGUCCGCUGUGAAAGUCCAGGGCUCAACCCUGGGAUGCCGGUGGAUACUGUCGGGCUCGAGUCCGGAAGAGGCGAGUGGAAUUCCUGGUGUAGCGGUGAAAUGCGCAGAUAUCAGGAAGAACACCUAUGGCGAAGGCAGCUCUCUGGGACGGUACUGACGCUGAGACGCGAAAGCGUGGGGAGCGAACAGG
RNAcentral lists this ribosomal RNA (253 nucleotides) under uncultured bacterium. RNAcentral's name for it is "partial 16S ribosomal RNA". It matches the Rfam family "Bacterial small subunit ribosomal RNA", at positions 524 to 776 of the family's 1533-position model. The record is from RNAcentral.